GCCUGGUGCAGUGGUGCACACCUGUAAUCCCAGAGGCUCUGGAGGCUGAGACAGGAGGAUCACAAGUUCAAAGCCAGCCUCAGCAAUGGCGGGAGAGGCACUAAGCAACUCAGUGAGACUCUGUCUCUA
This 129-nucleotide small RNA is filed under the name Marmota monax (woodchuck). Lineage: Eukaryota; Metazoa; Chordata; Mammalia; Rodentia; Sciuridae. The record is from RNAcentral.